Myotis davidii is the source of this 833-nucleotide long non-coding RNA. RefSeq lists it as uncharacterized. Lineage: Eukaryota; Metazoa; Chordata; Mammalia; Chiroptera; Vespertilionidae. The transcript has 2 exons. The record is from RefSeq and is a predicted model, not a curated record.
AAGACAGAAGAGAUGGGAUGAAAAACAAAACACAAGUAAACAUACCGACCUUGAGACAUUUUAAAAGAGAAAAGGAGAAAAUUGGGGGAGUGGAUGCCAUCAAGCCUCUCAUUAGAGAAGGAGUCGAGGAUAAAUCCCGGAAGCCCGGAGCUGAGGCCGGAUUAGGGGGAGGAGGAGAUUAAUGUGGUCAGGAGCAGCCGGCUUCCUAAUGGGCCUGAGCUGGGAUCUGGACCGUACAGCUGACCCUGGCGAGGGCCCCUGGAGGGGCUGCUUGGGGCGCAAAGGCCCAUGAUUCCCAGGUGCUACUGGAAGGAUGGGAUUAGAAGAAACGGGCUUAGAAAGGCACCCUAGCAAGGAAUCCAUGUACAGCAGAACGGACUCUAGCGGAGCUGGUUCAGCAAAGCUGUGGCUGGCUCCUCCUCACAGUCAAACAGCAUUUAUAAAAGCAUUUAUAAGGACACAUAAGUCAGCAUUAUGUUUAACAGAAUACCUAAUGCUACGAGAGUCAUUCUCUGAUCAAACCAGGGAAAGGUUGUCGGCUCUCACUAUUCAACAUAGUCCUGGACGUUCUGGGAGUGCAAUAAAGCAGGAAAGGAACGAAAAGGCAUUCACACAGGAAAAGAAAAACAAAACUGUCUCUAUUUGCAGGUGACAUGGUUGUUACUUAAAAAAAUCCCAAGGAAUGUACCCAAAACUCCUAGAACUAAUAACUGAGUUUGGCAAUGCCACAGGAUGCCAUCAAAUAAACAUAUGAAAAUCAACUAAUUCUACAUGCCAACUUUGAACUUGUGGACCCUGAAAUUAGAAAUAUUCCAUUUACAAUCACUAAAAAA